CCUAACGGCCAUACCACCCUGAAAGCGCCCGAUCUCGUCUGAAUCUCGGAAGCUAAGCAGGGACGGGCCUGGUUUAGUACCUGGAUGGGAGACCGCCUGGGAAUACCAGGUGUUGUAGGCU
This 121-nucleotide ribosomal RNA is filed under the name Xenopus tropicalis (tropical clawed frog). The record is from RNAcentral. Lineage: Eukaryota; Metazoa; Chordata; Amphibia; Anura; Pipidae.